UACGUAGGUGACAAGCGUUGUCCGGAUUUACUGGGCGUAAAGAGCGCGCAGGCGGUCGAUCAAGUCGAGUGUGAAAGCCCCCGGCUCAACUGGGGAGGGUCAUUCGAUACUGAUCGACUCGAAGGCAGGAGAGGGUAGUGGAAUUCCCGGUGUGGUGGUGAAAUGCGUAGAUAUCGGGAGGAACACCAGUGGCGAAGGCGACUACCUGGCCUGUUCUUGACGCUGAGGCGCGAAAGCUAGGGGAGCAAACGGG
RNAcentral lists this ribosomal RNA (253 nucleotides) under uncultured bacterium. RNAcentral's name for it is "partial 16S ribosomal RNA". It matches the Rfam family "Bacterial small subunit ribosomal RNA", at positions 524 to 776 of the family's 1533-position model. The record is from RNAcentral.